UGCGCGCAAGCGUGACGGGGCCAUCCUCAGUGCCGUCCGAUAAGGAUGGCUUUUGUCCAGCGUAAAUAACUGGACGAAUAAGGGGAGGGCAAGGCUGGUGCCAGCCGCCGCGGUAAAACCAGCUCCUCGAGUAGUCGGGAGGAUUACUGGGCCUAAAGCGUCCGUAGCCGGCCCUGUAAGUUUCCGGUCAAAACCAGCGGCCCAACCGCUGGCUUGCUGGGGGUACUGCAGGGCUUGGGAGCGUGAGAGGCCAAGGGUACUUACGGGGUAGGGGUGAAAUCCUAUAAUCCCGUAGGGACCACCGGUGGCGAAGGCGCUUGGCUGGAACGCGUCCGACGGUGAGGGACGAAAGCCAGGGGAGCGAACCGGAUUAGAUACCCGGGUAGUCCUGGCUGUAAACGAUGCGGACUAGGUGUUCGGGUGGCUAAGGGCUGCUCGAGUGCCGCAGAGAAGUCGUUAAGUCCGCCGCCUGGGGAGUACGGCCGCAAGGCUGAAACUUAAAGGAAUUGGCGGGGGAGCAC
This 521-nucleotide ribosomal RNA is filed under the name uncultured crenarchaeote. RNAcentral describes it as "bacterial SSU rRNA". It matches the Rfam family "Archaeal small subunit ribosomal RNA", at positions 356 to 879 of the family's 1478-position model. The record is from RNAcentral. Lineage: Archaea; Thermoproteati; Thermoproteota.